Molecule: ribosomal RNA, 499 nt
Filed under: uncultured bacterium
Lineage: Bacteria
Description: partial 16S ribosomal RNA
Rfam family: Bacterial small subunit ribosomal RNA
Source: RNAcentral
ACUCAAAUGAAUUGACGGGGGCCCGCACAAGCGGUGGAGCAUGUGGUUUAAUUCGACGCAACGCGAAGAACCUUACCUACUCUUGACAUCUACAGAAGACUGCAGAGAUGCGGUUGUGCCUUCGGGAACUGUAAGACAGGUGCUGCAUGGCUGUCGUCAGCUCGUGUUGUGAAAUGUUGGGUUAAGUCCCGCAACGAGCGCAACCCUUAUCCUUAGUUGCCAGCACGUUAUGGUGGGAACUCUAGGGAGACUGCCGGUGAUAAACCGGAGGAAGGUGGGGACGACGUCAAGUCAUCAUGGCCCUUACGAGUAGGGCUACACACGUGCUACAAUGGUAUGUACAGAGGGAGGCAAGCCUGCGAGGGUGAGCGGAUCUCUUAAAGCAUAUCGUAGUCCGGAUCGCAGUCUGCAACUCGACUGCGUGAAGUCGGAAUCGCUAGUAAUCGCAAAUCAGAAUGUUGCGGUGAAUACGUUCCCGGGCCUUGUACACACCGCCCGU